UACACACACGCUACAAUGGGUGAUACAACGGAGUUGCCAAAGAGCAAUCUGGAGCCAAUCCCUAAAAAUCAUCCUCAGUACGGAUUGCAGGCUGCAACUGCCUGCAUGAAGUUGGAGUUGCUAGUAAACGCAGGUCAGCACACUGCGUUGAAUACGUUCUCGGGCCUU
This 168-nucleotide ribosomal RNA is filed under the name uncultured Chloroflexota bacterium. Its description in RNAcentral is "uncultured Chloroflexi bacterium partial 16S ribosomal RNA". It matches the Rfam family "Bacterial small subunit ribosomal RNA", at positions 1215 to 1382 of the family's 1533-position model. Lineage: Bacteria; Bacillati; Chloroflexota. The record is from RNAcentral.